RNAcentral lists this ribosomal RNA (494 nucleotides) under uncultured bacterium. RNAcentral's name for it is "bacterial SSU rRNA". It matches the Rfam family "Bacterial small subunit ribosomal RNA", at positions 28 to 501 of the family's 1533-position model. The record is from RNAcentral.
GACGAACGCUGGCGGCGUGCCUAAUACAUGCAAGUCGAACGCACUCUCGUUUAGAUUGAAGGAGCUUGCUCCUGAUUGAUAAACAUUUGAGUGAGUGGCGGACGGGUGAGUAACACGUGGGUAACCUGCCCUAAAGUGGGGGAUAACAUUUGGAAACAGAUGCUAAUACCGCAUAAAACCUAACACCGCAUGGUGUAGGGUUGAAAGAUGGUUUCGGCUAUCACUUUAGGAUGGACCCGCGGUGCAUUAGUUAGUUGGUGAGGUAAAGGCUCACCAAGACCGUGAUGCAUAGCCGACCUGAGAGGGUAAUCGGCCACACUGGGACUGAGACACGGCCCAGACUCCUACGGGAGGCAGCAGUAGGGAAUCUUCCACAAUGGACGAAAGUCUGAUGGAGCAACGCCGCGUGAGUGAAGAAGGUUUUCGGAUCGUAAAACUCUGUUGUUGGUAGAAGAAUGUAUCUGAUAGUAACUGAUCAGGUAGUGACGGUAUCC